This is a long non-coding RNA of Tupaia belangeri chinensis (Chinese tree shrew), 459 nucleotides long. RefSeq lists it as uncharacterized. The record is from RefSeq and is a predicted model, not a curated record. The transcript has 3 exons. Lineage: Eukaryota; Metazoa; Chordata; Mammalia; Scandentia; Tupaiidae.
AAGAGCGGGUGAGCAAGCAGAGGCCACGUCGGACGUCUGCCACGCUGAGACUGGGGAGUGAGGAUCAAGCUGGAAAAGGAAGGAGGAAAUGGAUUGUCAAAUGGAUGUCUGUCAUGCUAAGAGUCCUGGACUUUACCAAGAAGCAGUGUUGCCUAUGAGUAGAAAAAGAAAUCACACAAUAUGUUAAAGAAUAAGCAACAAGGCCAAAACAAACAAGAGGAACAGCUCGGUGAAUUUCACUAUCUAACAACUUCUGCAUCUUUUCUUGGCCGAAGAAUGUAAGAGACUAAGAAAUCCAUCUUGAUCUUGCUGUUCAAAAUCCAUUAAAAAUCUUGGUUAUAAACAUUAUGUAACAACACAGAAAAAGAGCUUAGCAUAAAAAAAAAAGCUACAAAAUUGAAUAUCCACUCUGCUUGCAACUAUCCUUUUAAAGAAAGGGGAAAAUAAAUGAGAAGAUUA